Molecule: ribosomal RNA, 849 nt
Filed under: uncultured bacterium
Lineage: Bacteria
Description: bacterial SSU rRNA
Rfam family: Bacterial small subunit ribosomal RNA
Source: RNAcentral
GGGCAACCCUGGUGGCGAGUGGCGGACGGGUGAGUAAAGCAUCGGAACGUAUCCUGGAGUGGGGGAUAACGUAGCGAAAGUUACGCUAAUACCGCAUAUUCUGUGAGCAGGAAAGCAGGGGAUCGCAAGACCUUGCGCUCUGGGAGCGGCCGAUGUCGGAUUAGCUAGUUGGUGGGGUAAAGGCCUACCAAGGCGACGAUCCGUAGCGGGUCUGAGAGGAUGAUCCGCCACACUGGGACUGAGACACGGCCCAGACUCCUACGGGAGGCAGCAGUGGGGAAUUUUGGACAAUGGGCGCAAGCCUGAUCCAGCCAUGCCGCGUGAGUGAAGAAGGCCUUCGGGUUGUAAAGCUCUUUCGGCGGGGAAGAAAUUGCACGGGUUAAUACCCUGUGUAGAUGACGGUACCCGAAUAAGAAGCACCGGCUAACUACGUGCCAGCAGCCGCGGUAAUACGUAGGGUGCGAGCGUUAAUCGGAAUUACUGGGCGUAAAGCGUGCGCAGGCGGUUUGGUAAGUCAGAUGUGAAAUCCCCGGGCUCAACCUGGGAACUGCAUUUGAGACUGCCAGGCUGGAGUUUGGCAGAGGGGGGUGGAAUUCCACGUGUAGCAGUGAAAUGCGUAGAGAUGUGGAGGAACACCGAUGGCGAAGGCAGCCCCCUGGGCCAAUACUGACGCUCAUGCACGAAAGCGUGAGGAGCAAACAGGAUUAGAUACCCUGGUAGUCCACGCCCUANACGAUGUCAACUAGGUGUUGGGAGGGUUAAACCUUUUAGUGCCGUAGCUAACGCGUGAAGUUGACCGCCUGGGGAGUACGGCCGCAAGGCUAAAACUNAAAGGAAUUGACGGGGACC